RNAcentral lists this long non-coding RNA (1015 nucleotides) under Phoenix dactylifera (date palm). RNAcentral describes it as "long non-coding RNA (PDAC_LNC012768)". The record is from RNAcentral. Lineage: Eukaryota; Viridiplantae; Streptophyta; Magnoliopsida; Arecales; Arecaceae.
AAAUCUCCCAGCUCUCAUCUCGUUCACUCUUAUCCCAGCAUUUCCAGCCAACUUCAUGUCAUCUUCUUCUCAACUUCAUGAGCUUCUCCGCAUCUCUCCCAAUGGCUUUCUCCAUAUCAUCUUAGAUUAGGCGUCCAGACUUCCCAAUCUAACAAAACAGAGUCCAACCCGAGCAAAUCCUUCUCCCCGAGCAUCACGGAAGAGCUCGCUAUCCGCAUCCCCUGCAUCCGCAACAAUCCCACGCUCAUCCCGAAUCCAACCUUCCUCCUCUUCCGAAUCCUUCCCAGAUUUUCCCUCGCGCUUAUCUUCAUCUCCACCGCGUUGAACCAACAUCAUCAACUUCCGGAUCCCCUGAGAACAAAGCUUAUCCUCUCCGGAAAGCAAGCAUCGUGAGCAUCCUCUACAAUCUUUUCCCCUGCUUCUGAACAUAACCAAAAUCCUUUCAAUGCCCAUGAUGAAGCUUCCCACGGAUCACUUUCUUCCGCUCAUUCCAUGCGCUCCCAGCCAUCCCAACUUCCGAGAUCCUCUCACAUCCACAUUUCAGCGUCCCAACAGCGUCCAAGAUCUUCUACCGCGUCGCCUCUGCGUUGAAGCCGCGUCACCAACAUUUCGGAUCACAUCCACUCUCAGCCGUGAGCACCGUUCCAGCAUCCACAUCAUCCUCUGCAUCCUUAUCCUUGAUUCGAAAGAGGGGAGGAGAGAGAGGUGGGCAGGCUAUAAAAGGAGUCAAGAUGUGAAGGGGAGGAGGCAUUCUCUUCCGUCCCAUUCUUUCUCACCCGAUCCCAUCCUUUAGUUCUUUUAUUUGGGAAGUCCCACGGGAAACAGAGGAGGAAAAAGAGUUUGGGUACUUUGGGAAUGAUUUCCCAUAGGAAGAGAAGAUGAUGUGCUAAGAGGGAGCCGCUCUCAGGAGAGUCUCCAGGGAGAAUGAACGAAGAGAUGGAAGCUCUUGGCACUGCUGCUGCUGUCCACCACUGCAUGGAAGCCUAAUCCUCUCACUAGGGCUGGAUGCAGCCCU